UUUUAAAUAUAUCUUCGUAUAUUUCUUCACUAUUUAAAAAUAAUUUUAUUAUUAGUACCUGUUAAAUUAUCGUGUUAAAUCCGAAAUAAAUUUCUAUCAAAGCUAAAAAAAAAAAAAGUUAAUAUACUUAUUUUGUCUUUAACGUAAGGGCAAAUAAGAAAGUUAGUAACCGUAGAAAGUAUGUUUGAAAAUGCAAAAAAUUACCGACCGUCUCUAGAGCAAGUGGCAAAGGAUUAGGUGGUUGGUAUCCGAGACCUAAGUUCGAAUCCUAGUUGAUUCACAUUUCUAGCUAAGUUUAUUUCUAAAUGAAAUAAACGAAGUGGGUAACGCGCAAUCUAUCUCUCAAAAAAAGAAAAGGCAAAAAAUUAUCUAUUAAAAUACUUCUUUUGCCCUAUUUAAGAACAAAUAAAAAAAGUUGGUGGCGAUAGAGGAUUGUAUUUUAAAGGGCAAAAUAGUAAUUUUAUAGAGAUAACAUCGGUUUCUAACAGUUCACUAAUAGAAUUUAACUCUAUAAAAGUAUAUUUAAAAUAACUUGGAACGUUAAAAGGGUAAUUUUAUUAUUAGCCUUUUAAGAAAGUAAAUAAAAAAGUUGAAAACUUUUCAAGAGCACAUAAUCAAUUGCCCCUAAAAAGUAAGUAUAAACAUACCACUUCUUUUGCCCUAUUUAAGAACAAAUAAAAAAAGUUGGUGGCGAUAGAAGAGUGUAUUUUAAUGGGCAAAAUAUUAAUUUUAUAGAUGUAACAUCGGUUUCUAACAGUUCACUAAUAGAAUUUAACUCUAUAAAGGUAUAUUUAAAAUAACUUGGAACGUUAAAAGGGUAAUUUUAUUAUUAGCCUUUUAAGAGAGUAAAUAAAAAAGGUGAAAAUUUUUCAAGAGCACAUAAUCAAUUGCCCCUAAAAUGUAAGUAUAAACAUACCGAACUUAUUUGAACUAUGAGCCAUUUUUUAUCAAUUAUCUAACCUUUUAACAUUUGAUUCAAUAGCACUUUGAUUUCACAAUUUGAAUAAUUGGAUAGUAAAAUCAAAAUUUUGAAAAAUUAGGUAGCCAGUUCAAAAUGGUCCAAAAUUCAGGUAAGUGUUAUUU
RNAcentral lists this long non-coding RNA (1083 nucleotides) under Ananas comosus (pineapple). Its description in RNAcentral is "long non-coding RNA (ACOM_LNC001654)". The record is from RNAcentral. Lineage: Eukaryota; Viridiplantae; Streptophyta; Magnoliopsida; Poales; Bromeliaceae.